RNAcentral lists this ribosomal RNA (624 nucleotides) under Protubera nipponica. RNAcentral's name for it is "eukaryotic LSU rRNA". It matches the Rfam family "Eukaryotic large subunit ribosomal RNA", at positions 43 to 642 of the family's 3401-position model. Lineage: Eukaryota; Fungi; Basidiomycota; Agaricomycetes; Phallales; Phallaceae. The record is from RNAcentral.
UCAAUAAGCGGAGGAAAAGAAACUAACAAGGAUUCCCCUAGUAACGGCGAGUGAAGCGGGAAGAGCUCAAAUUUGUAAUCUGGCGGUCUCGCGGCCGUCCGAGUUGUAAUCUGGAGAAGCGUUUUCGGUGCCGGCCCGCGUACAAGUCCCCUGGAACGGGGCGUCGCAGAGGGUGAGAAUCCCGUCUCUGACGCGGCACGCCGGCGCCGUGCGAUGCGCUCUCGAAGAGUCGAGUUGUUUGGGAAUGCAGCUCAAAACGGGUGGUAAAUUCCAUCUAAAGCUAAAUACUGGCGAAAGACCGAUAGCGAACAAGUACCGUGAGGGAAAGAUGAAAAGCACUUUGGAAAGAGAGUCAAACAGUACGUGAAAUUGUUGAAAGGGAAACGCUUGAAGUCAGUCGCGUCUCUCGGGACUCAGUCGGACCCUAGGGUCCGACGCACUUCCCGAGUCGGACGGGCCAGCGUCGAUUUCUAUCGCCGUAAAAAGGCGCGAGGAACGUGGCACCUUCGGGUGUGUUAUAGCCUCGCGUCGUAUGUGGCGGUCGGGAUCGAGGAACGCAGCGCGCGCCCUAGGGCACGGGGUUCGCCCACGUAACGCGCUUGGGACGCUGGCGUAAUGGCUUAA